This 509-nucleotide ribosomal RNA is filed under the name Klebsiella aerogenes. RNAcentral's name for it is "bacterial SSU rRNA". It matches the Rfam family "Bacterial small subunit ribosomal RNA", at positions 20 to 521 of the family's 1533-position model. The record is from RNAcentral. Lineage: Bacteria; Pseudomonadati; Pseudomonadota; Gammaproteobacteria; Enterobacterales; Enterobacteriaceae.
UGGCUCAGAUUGAACGCUGGCGGCAGGCCUAACCAUGCAAGUCGAGCGGUAACACAGAGAGCUUGCUCUCGGGUGACGAGCGGCGGACGGGUGAGUAAUGUCUGGGAAACUGCCUGAUGGAGGGGGAUAACUACUGGAAACGGUAGCUAAUACCGCAUAACGUCGCAAGACCAAAGUGGGGGACCUUCGGGCCUCAUGCCAUCAGAUGUGCCCAGAUGGGAUUAGCUAGUAGGUGGGGUAAUGGCUCACCUAGGCGACGAUCCCUAGCUGGUCUGAGAGGAUGACCAGCCACACUGGAACUGAGACACGGUCCAGACUCCUACGGGAGGCAGCAGUGGGGAAUAUUGCACAAUGGGCGCAAGCCUGAUGCAGCCAUGCCGCGUGUAUGAAGAAGGCCUUCGGGUUGUAAAGUACUUUCAGCGAGGAGGAAGGCGUUAAGGUUAAUAACCUUGGCGAUUGACGUUACUCGCAGAAGAAGCACCGGCUAACUCCGUGCCAGCAGCCGCGGU